RNAcentral lists this unclassified non-coding RNA (200 nucleotides) under soil metagenome. Its description in RNAcentral is "partial contains internal transcribed spacer 2 and large subunit ribosomal RNA". The record is from RNAcentral.
AUAAAACAAAACGGCUCGUCUGAAAUGCCUGAGUGUACCCCGCUUUGCGGCGUAUUCGGUGUGAUACAUCUUCACCGGAGUUGAUCCUUUAUGGGUCGCGUCUGUAACGAGUGUGGCUCUAUGCUUCGAACCGUCUUCUGAUCGAGACAAAUCUCUGACAAUUUGACCUCAAAUCGGGUGGGACUACCCGCUGAACUUAA